GCCAAGCAUGGUGGUGCAUGCUUGUAAUCCCAGCUACUCAGGAGGCUGAGGCAGGAGGAGCUUGGGUUCAAACCCAGCCUCUG
This 83-nucleotide small RNA is filed under the name Marmota monax (woodchuck). The record is from RNAcentral. Lineage: Eukaryota; Metazoa; Chordata; Mammalia; Rodentia; Sciuridae.